Molecule: ribosomal RNA, 495 nt
Filed under: uncultured bacterium
Lineage: Bacteria
Description: partial 16S ribosomal RNA
Rfam family: Bacterial small subunit ribosomal RNA
Source: RNAcentral
GACGAACGCUGGCGGCGUGCCUAAUACAUGCAAGUAGAACGCUGAAGGAGGAGCUUGCUUCUCUGGUUGAGUUGCGAACGGGUGAGUAACGCGUAGGUAACCUGCCUGGUAGCGGGGGAUAACUAUUGGAAACGAUAGCUAAUACCGCAUAAUAGUAGAUGUUGCAUGACAUUUGCUUAAAAGGUGCAAUUGCAUCACUACCAGAUGGACCUGCGUUGUAUUAGCUAGUUGGUGGGGUAACGGCUCACCAAGGCGACGAUACAUAGCCGACCUGAGAGGGUGAUCGGCCACACUGGGACUGAGACACGGCCCAGACUCCUACGGGAGGCAGCAGUAGGGAAUCUUCGGCAAUGGACGGAAGUCUGACCGAGCAACGCCGCGUGAGUGAAGAAGGUUGUCGGAUCGUAAAGCUCUGUUGUAAGAGAAGAACGAGUGUGAGAGUGGAAAGUUCACACUGUGACGGUAUCUUACCAGAAAGGGACGGCUAACUACGUG